GAAAAAGUCGCUACCUGAGUUUUGGCGAGAUCAGUAUGUGCUUUCUGCAGCCUCCAGAUACAUCCAAAAUUCAUAAUUGUAUACCUGAUGAACACUAUGUCCAAACUCUGCUUGCUGUAAGUAGUUUUCUGUGAUCUAAACCCGUCUUGGCAACCUAAUUUUUUUGUUUAAAUAUCACUGAUUUCACUUUCAAACAGUGAUAUUCUGUCAAAGAAAAUUCCUUGCAUGGAUCAUUGGUAGCAUGUAUCUC
Molecule: long non-coding RNA, 250 nt
Organism: Nicotiana attenuata
Lineage: Eukaryota; Viridiplantae; Streptophyta; Magnoliopsida; Solanales; Solanaceae
Exons: 2
Source: RefSeq, a predicted model, not a curated record